CUGGACCAACCGGAAGACCUAUAGGAUAUUGGGUAAUUUUGCUGCUUUUGGUUAAGUUACGUGUUUAGACUUAAAGUCAUACUAAUCUUAAAAUUAGAAGCAAUCUCUCAGUCAUAAAAUACGUAACAAUUAGACGUCCUGUAAGGUACGAUGACGAUAACGCGUCAUGCCCUAAGGAUACCAAAACCAGCAUAAAAGCGACCAUUCGUUGGGAGAGAGGAAAAAGAUAACGAUGGACAAGUAAUUAACGAACUCGGGCUUGCAGUAAAACUUUGAUUUUUAUGUGACUUAUCAGUCAUGACUUGGAACUGUUCUUUGUAUUUGUAAAUAUACAAUUGCAAUAUAUGUAUUCGGUACCAGGAGUAUGUCUUCUUCAUCAGAUCAGAAACAACAGCAAUACAGAAAGUGUAGCAAAAAUAUUAAAUGUUCCCUAAAAAUGGUAUCCCCGACAGACGAACCAGCGCCUUUCUGAGAUGGAGUCUGAAAAGCAACCGUUAGAACUAAAGGUGACCCCAAAGACAUCAACUCCACAAGCAAGCCGAGGAUAAAAAGAUCAAGGAAAAUGAAAAACAACCACCAAACCAAGAUUCAGACAGUAUGAAAAAUCAAGGAAUUACAAGCGAAAUAUCAAAGAUUCUGACAAAAAGAAAAAGACUGUUAGAUUUAAAAGGUGUAUGAGAUUCACAUUAUAUGGACUGUUAUAAAAAUAUGUGUGUGAAACAUUCACACUAUAUGAACUGUUUUACACCAGAAAAAAACCGUAAAAUCAAAAACUAGUCGGAACUCUUGACUACAAAAAACAAAUGAGAAAGAUAUGAAACGAAAGAACUUCAUAAAGAAACGCCCGCGAACCAACUUCAAGAAACCGCGCGAUUGUAGCAUUUUAUAUUGUACUAUAAAUAUUUCAAUUUCGUGUACAAAAUGGACAGACAUUCUUCUUCUUCUUCACAGGUAUUUCACGUUUCCUUCUUUCUAAUCUUUAAGCGUUCUAUAUUUGGUAUUAAACCCAACGAGGUUUACUCAAAAAUAUUUAAUUUAUUCGAUUUUGGCAGAUAUUAGCAUUCGUUUUCUUUAAAUAUACUUUACGUUGACUUUAACAUUUUUUUCAAAAUAUGAUUUCAUAUACGAUCGUAUUUCGAAUCAGCGCUUCAGGAUGUAUUUGCAUAAACGCAAGUGAAAUCCUCAUUUUUUAUUUUUAAACGCCCGAAGAGGCUCAUCACAAUUAUAGCCGGAAAGGCUCAUAAACGCAACACGCGUAUUUUUUUUAUUUUUUUCAGCGCUUCAAAAUUUAUUAAUGUGAAACGAAGUGUAUUAAAGCUAAGCAUUGGUAGUAAUCUGUCACCUAAAUUAUAAAAUAAACCAACGCCAAAUCUUUUUCUUUCCAUACACUGUAUAAACACACACACAUUCUGUCUCAUAAUCCUAAUUUCAACUUUCUUAUGUUUUUAUGAAUUUUGUUGCAUUUUGUGUAUAUAUUUUCACUGCACGCCCAAGCUUGGCCACUGCUCCGCAGCUAAAGUAGGUGCAUAGUAUAGGAUAUUGGGUAAUUUUGCUGCUUUUGGUUAAGUUACGUGUUUAGACUUAAAGUCAUACUAAUCUUAAAAUUAGAAGCAAUCUCUCAGUCAUAAAAUACGUAACAAUUAGACGUCCUGUAAGGUACGAUGACGAUAACGCGUCAUGCCCUAAGGAUACCAAAACCAGCAUAAAAGCGACCAUUCGUUGGGAGAGAGGAAAAAGAUAACGAUGGACAAGUAAUUAACGAACUCGGGCUUGCAGUGAACUUUGAUUUUUAUGUGACUUAUCAGUCAUGACUUGGAACUGUUCUUUGUAUUUGUAAAUAUACAAUUGCAAUAUAUGUAUUCGGUACCAGGAGUAUGUCUUCUUCAUCAGAUCAGAAACAACAGCAAUACAGAAAGUGUAGCAAAAAUAUUAAAUGUUCCCUAAAGACCUACCGGAGGACCCACCGUCUCUGCGAACCCUGAUCCACUAGUGGUAUACGUCGUGUGACAAUAGAGGAAACGUCUUCUUAUUCAAAACAAUAAAUUAGCCUGAAAUAUACAAAUAAGGCUGCUGGGGUGAGCUCUUCCAUAACUGAGUCAGAGGGAAUUCGUGUGCUGGUUUAAACUUUAGUUAACCGAUAAGAAGUUUUAAGCGGGCCAUCAUCACUCUGCGAUCUCGGAUUCGACAAUUGGUUACAUUUUCAACGUAAAGAUUGACUAUGGCAAUCCAUUUUGGACUUCCACCCGGCGUUACGAAGACUAUGACGAUUAUAUGACCUGUAUGCUGCAAUUACAGCGUCAUGCCCAAGUUUAUGACCACUUGUUAGGCGAGGGAACAGCUAGAAAUAGGAAACAAUCAACGACUCGGCAUGCGUGCAGAGUGCCUCGGGAUUUUGCCUGGCUUUUCAGAGAUGUUCUGGAACUGUUCAUUGUAUUCGUAAAUAUAUACAAUUGCAAUACAUGUUAUUCGAAACUAUGAACAUGUCCUUGUCGGAUCAGACGAACACUGGUUUGUUUAGCUAGCCAACAACCAGAAAUUAAUUACUUUACUGAAUCCUACAUUGGUGACCCGGCAAACGAACUGCGCCUUGCGAAAAAGAGUCAGAACAUCAACCGCUGGAAAGGUGACCCCGAGAAUAUCAACUGAACAAGCCGAGGGUAAGAUGAAAAAAAAAUAAUUCGAUACCAAUCAAAAUUCAGACCGUGCGAUUAACCAAGGAAUAAGAGCAAAAAACAGGGCGUAAGCAACUAUCACAGAAAAAGUUAUAUUAAAAAAUGUGUGUAAAACGUUCACACGUCUGGACUGGUAUAUUUAAAGAAAUGUGUGCAACGCAAUCGCACUAUAACGAAUGUUUUUAUACCCGAGAAAAAACCGUUAUAAUUAAAAACUAGUCAGACAGAAUGAAAUGAAAGUAUGAAACGCAAAGAACUUAUUCAGUACAGUAUACUAUUGUAUUUUAUUAUUUUCAAUUUCGUGUACAAAGUGGACAGACAUUCUUCUUCUUCGUAGGUAUUUCAUAUUUUCUUCUUUCUAAUCAUAACGGUCAAAACAAUCUUACAAAAGCUUUGAUGUAUUUUCAUAAAAGCAUGUAAAAUCUUCAUUUUUUUUAACACCCAAAUAGCUUUAUCAUCUUUCACAGCAGCCAGCAAGACAACGAGUGAUUUUUUUUUCAGCGCUUCAAAAUUUAUUGAUGUAAAUGAGGUUUAUUAGAGCGAAGCAUUUGUAGUUAUGUGUCAGCUGAAUUCAAAAUUACCUAACGCCAAUUCUUUUCUUAUUCAAAAACAGCAUAACACACACACACACACACACACACACAUUCUUUCUCAUAAUCAUAAUUUCAGCUUUAUGUUUUUAUAAAUUUUGUUACAUUUCGUGUAUUUCUUUUUUCACUGCACGCACAAGCUUGGCCACUGUUCCGCAUUAGUAGCAGAGGCAUUAUAUAGGAUAUUGGGUAAUUUAUCUGCCUUUGGUGAGUAACUCAAAGUUAUCCUAAUCUUACGCGGACAAUAAAAUUAGAAGCACGUACAGAGUAAUAAAAGUGGCAAUUAGACGACCUGUAGGCUGCAAUGACAUGCCAUCGGGAUACCGAAACAAGGUAGACCACUCGUUAGGCGAGAAAAGGGAUGAUUUUGAAAUGGGUAGCUGGAACAAUUAACAACUCGGCAUGCGUGAACUGUAAUUUCGGAUGUUGUCUGGCUUAUCAGCCAUGCUUUGGAACUGUUCAUCUGUAUACGUAAAUAUAUACAAUUCUAUAGUAUGUUUUGUAAAUUAUGAAUAUGUCUUUGUCAGAAUCAAGUUUAGCCAACAACUAGAAAAAACUUUAUUAAACCCUACACUGCUACACCUGUAGGGAAUAUUAGAGAGUGAACAAAAUUUCAACAGCAAGGAAACAAAUGAAGCUGUAGAUCCCAACUAGUCCGAAAAAUUCUUCUAAUUCGAAAAAAAUCACUUAUAUAACGCGACGCUGUAAAUAAUCACACGUUCGUACCAAUUAGGCCAAAAAAUUGUUCCUUUAGCAGAAUUAUAACUAAUGUAACACGUCGCCUCAAUUGGUUUACGUUGAUCAUUAUCAUAGAGUUAUAAUCAGUAACGACAAUAAACGAUAGAUAUAUACAAGACGUUGUUGAUAUCAAUAUUUUAUCCUACACUGGUGAUUCGACAAACGACAGCACCUUCUGAAAAGAGGAGACAGAUUUGCGCAACGGAGAACUGUAACAAAGUCAACGGAGCAACGAAGUUGCUGACAGACAUAAGUGGCAAAUAGCUGACAGACAGUAAGUGGCAAAUAAAAUACCAAGGCGACAAUACAAUAAUUUAACUUGAAGGACUUUUAGACAACGGUAUACGGAAACAUGUGGAUGGAAGAACUCUUUUGAACAAAAAUGAGAAAAAUCGAUGACGAAUUAACCAAAUGAUGACAUAACAAAGAACGAAAUCUCAAUGCAACAAGGCAUUAUAACACGCGCUUUAACGAAAUAUUAACGCGACAAGAGACGGAACCAACGAACAUUCGAGUGCAUGUUAUAUUUUUCACUGUCAUAAUUCCGAUUUAUUUUAUCUAUUGUAGAUUUAUCUUGUUGGGACAUGCUUCCCUGUUCUUUUGAUCUCAAGGUAAAAAUCCCAUUUCUUAUGCUAUGGCGUUUAAUUACUUGACAUUCGUGUCAACCAUCCUAUAUAAACGGUAAAAUAACUCUUUAAUAUUAUUCACUGGUUUUAUCGUGUAACUAUAUUCUUCCCUGUGCCGCCGUAAUACAACAUCGAAAAGGUCGGUGACUUUGUUAUUUUUUUCGUUGUCUGCAGGGCCAAGCUCUGCUCUAACCGAGUCAGAGGGAAUUCGUGUGCUGGGUUAAACUCCUAGUUAACCGAGAGUUUUUGCCUAUAACUAAGCUCUAUUUAGGAUUGCUUUUAAAAUAACAAGAAUUCUACAAAUUUGGUGGCGCCAACAAUUGAAUACAGCGUUUUUGAGAAGACCAGAUCAGCGGAGGAACACAGAUCAACUCAGAAUCUCAAAAAAAAAAAAACAGAAGAACUCAAGAUAGUUAUCGCCUUUUUUUACGAUUAUCAACGAAAACUAAAACUCUACAACAUCGACAAGAGAAUCCGGUUCUACGAUUAUUGACACGAAGAAGACGAAAUCGCCUAAGGACAUUUCUACGGACAUUCUUUAUUUCACUGAAUUUACUGCAUUUUAAUAAUUACUAUGUACUGCAAUUUUCUUUCCUAUUUCUUCUAUAUUUCCCAUGAGGAUUAGUGUCUUCCCAUUUGAUUUAUUUAAAAAGUCCAAAUCUUGUUUAGCUCCAACUGAUAAGAGUAGUAAUUUACCUAAGCCAGAAGACGUAUUAAAACCACCUUUAAUAAUUAAAGCUCAGUUGCCCGAUAAUCAUAAUAUGCAAUCAACUAAACAAUCGUCUAAAUCGUCGCCUAGCCAAAAUUAUGAUUUAUUCGUGUGGUAGUAUUUAUUCCGCGUGUUUUUGAUGCUUUUGUUUUCUUGUUUUUGUAAUUUGUUUUGAUUAUUAUUGCUGUGUUACAUAAUGAUUUAACGCCGAACGCGAGGAUGAGAAGAGAUCGUCUGCCACGUUUUGGGCGGUUACAGACAGUCGAGUUUUGUGUUUCAUGUGAGCAGUUCAUGUUGAACUCAUUUCACUUUGGGUUGAUUUAUUGCUGUUUUUAAAAAAAGAAAUAAAGCCGCAGUCAAACCUCGGAUCUUCUGUUUUUAUCAUGGCAGAUUUUUUGUAAAGUAUAGGAAGAAAAAGCUACGACAAAAUUGGCGGUCACGCCAGGAUCCAUAAUUUGUGCGAAUUAUUGAUAUAACGAAACGAAAAGGAACUUUUUAUUGGCACCUCCACGAGGGGGGUGAUUUUGACGAAUUUAUCAGAAGAUUUCAGUAUUCGAUGUGAUAGGACUAAAACAAAUUCUUUAUUGGCGAUUCGUAAUUUAACUUCUGGACAGUGUCUCAUCAUGGCGUCCACCUCUUUUACUGCAGGAGGCCUCUAUAUUCCGAAAGAGGAACAUGUGAAUGAUGAUGAAUUAUAUUAUCAGCGAGGUUGGUGAAUAUGUUCAUCUUAAUGGUCGUAUGGGACGUUGUGGAAAUUCGAAAAUGUAUCAAAUUGGUCCGGUCGUUCGUGAAGGUUCUCGCGCAUGCACAGCAGGAAGUUCCUGACUGCAUGGGUAAUGGCAUACUACAUGAUAUUAAUGGUCGUUUGAAUACUCCCGUUGUAUUGCUAUGUCAAAGGUAGCAAAUUUAUCGUCCGGUUGUUCGUGAACUUUCUCGCGCAUGCACAGCAAGAAGUUCUUGACUACAUGGUCAGUAGCAUAUGAUGAAGGUGCUAUGGAUACCAGUUUAGAUCCAAAGGAUGGAAAGUUGGGUACUCGGGACAAAAGAAGAACGGGCGGUGUUGACUAUAGUCGUGCCAAUGGAGACACUCUACUAGAUUACGUCGAUAGCAGAGUAGCUUCUACGUCAAACCUCAAUAGAGAGGGGGUGGCUUCGAUGAUGAUGACAAUUGGGAGUAAAACCUGCAUCUAUUGAUAUGCAUAUUCCGAUGUAAAUAGAUUUGAGCGCUGUCGAAAUUCAGACAUAUCGUUCUAUGUUAUCAACGGGGGCAUGUCUCAGCCCUUUAAUUACGUUAUGGUCGCUUCAUAACUGAAAUGAGCUGAACUAUAUUCUUGUUGUGAAUAAGUGUAUAAUUUGAGUUGUGUUAAGGUGUUUUAACCAAGUUCUCGUGACCUAAAAUGACUGCGAUUUAUUUUAACUGUUUUUAUACGACUUGGUAGUUUUGUUGUUCACGAGUGUUCAGAUUUCAAAUUCAUAAGUAGUUUAAUUCUAGUGUAUAUAUAUGUAAAGCACUAGUUUCUUAUUUCGUUUUGAAGAGAAUUUUUGUGUUUGGUUCACUCCUGUCUGUAGUUUGUACCCCUGUCUGUACAUUUUUUUGUGUUUAUCAAGCAUGGUAGGGAGGGCAUAUGUGUAUAGAACUAAUUUUUUUAUUUCGUUUGGAGUCUGAUCUUUGUGUGACUUUAGUAUUUGAGUCUUAGUAUUUUUUGAUAUUUUGUGUGUACAGCAUGACCAGGAGGUCAUGAUAUUUUAAGGGAGGAACUGUGUGAUAGUAAUUAUUCCGCGUGCUUUUGAUGCUUUUGUUUUCAUGUUUUUGUAAUUUGUUUUAAUUAUCAUUGCUGUGUUACAUAAUGAUUUAACGCCGAACGCGAGGAUGAGAAGGGAUCGUCUGCCACGUUCUGGGCGGUGACAGACAGUCGAGGUUUGUGUUUCGUGUGAGCUGUUCAUGUUGAACUCAUUUCACUUUAAGUUGAUUUAUCGCUGUUUUUAAAAAAGUAAUAAAGCCGCAGUCGAGCCUCGGA
This is a long non-coding RNA of Styela clava, 7353 nucleotides long. RefSeq lists it as uncharacterized. Lineage: Eukaryota; Metazoa; Chordata; Ascidiacea; Stolidobranchia; Styelidae. The record is from RefSeq and is a predicted model, not a curated record.